AGGAAUAUUGGUCAAUGGGCGUAAGCCUGAACCAGCCAAGUAGCGUGAGGGAAGACUGCCCUAUGGGUUGUAAACCUCUUUUGUGCGGGGAUAAAGUGUGGGACGUGUCCCAUAUUGCAGGUACCGCACGAAUAAGGACCGGCUAAUUCCGUGCCAGCAGCCGCGGUAAUACGGAAGGUCCGGGCGUUAUCCGGAUUUAUUGGGUUUAAAGGGAGCGCAGGCCGUCCUUUAAGCGUGCUGUGAAAUGCCGCGGCUCAACCGUGGCACUGCAGCGCGAACUGGAGGACUUGAGUACGCACGAGGUAGGCGGAAUUCGUGGUGUAGCGGUGAAAUGCUUAGAUAUCACGAAGAACUCCGAUUGCGAAGGCAGCUUACCGGAGCGCAACUGACGCUGAGGCUCGAAAGCGCGGGUAUCGAACAGGAUUAGAUACCCUGGUAGUCCGCGCGGUAAACGAUGGAUGCCCGCCGUUGGGAUUUAGAUUUCAGCGGCCAAGCGAAAGCGUUAAGCAUCCCACCUGGGGAGUACGCCGGCAACGGUGAAACUCAAAGGAAUUGACGGGGGCCCGCACAAGCGGAGGAACAUGUGGUUUAAUUCGAUGAUACGCGAGGAACCUUACCCGGGCUUGAAUUGCAGGAGAACGAUCCAGAGAUGGUGAGGCCCUUCGGGGCUCCUGUGAAGGUGCUGCAUGGUUGUCGUCAGCUCGUGCCGUGAGGUGUCGGCUCAAGUGCCAUAACGAGCGCAACCCCUGUCCAUAGUUGCCAUCAGGUCGUGCUGGGCACUCUGUGGAGACUGCCGCCGUAAGGUGUGAGGAAGGUGGGGAUGACGUCAAAUCAGCACGGCCCUUACGUCCGGGGCUACACACGUGUUACAAUGGGGCAUACAGCGAGUUAGAUGUGCGCAAGUACGUCCGGAUCAAUAAAGUGCCUCUCAGUUCGGACUGGGGUCUGCAACCCGACCCCACGAAGCUGGAUUCGCUAGUAAUCGCGCAUCAGCCAUGGCGCGGUGAAUACGUUCCCG
This 1018-nucleotide ribosomal RNA is filed under the name uncultured bacterium. Its description in RNAcentral is "bacterial SSU rRNA". It matches the Rfam family "Bacterial small subunit ribosomal RNA", at positions 357 to 1376 of the family's 1533-position model. The record is from RNAcentral.